UUUUGUUUGUUUGUUUGUCGUUUUUUUUGACAGUGUAAAAAAAAAAAAUAAAAAAAAACAAGCUGGAUUAAACCCCAACUUUUGUGGU
Molecule: non-coding RNA, 88 nt
Filed under: Triparma pacifica
Lineage: Eukaryota; Bolidophyceae; Parmales; Triparmaceae
Source: RNAcentral